Rattus norvegicus (Norway rat) is the source of this 550-nucleotide non-coding RNA. Lineage: Eukaryota; Metazoa; Chordata; Mammalia; Rodentia; Muridae. The record is from RefSeq and is a predicted model, not a curated record.
GCAUAAAAGAUGAAAGCCUUUAGAGUGAACCCUGACACUUAGGAGUUGGUUAACAGUUGUCAGUUUUGAUCAGGUCUUAAGUCCCUUCUGAAUCUGAGAGCUUGGGACCAGUCCGCCGUGCUGCUACAACAUCUGGCCAGCAUUCGAGGUUGUUUCUCAAGGACACAAGAGUGCACCUCCGUCUAAGUCAUGGACAGAUUGUGUAGGCUAAAGAAUUUCAGCAUUUUUGGACUACAUCAUUAAGGUCUUAUUUUAUUUAGAAUCAAUAGAGAAACCAAGAAUUCUUGUGAACAGAAAUAGAAAUUUCAUAGUAAAUGUCAUUAAAACUAUUUUUCCAUUUUAACAUAUAAUUCUAAUAUAUUGUUUGGGAUACAACAAUAUAUUGGAAUAGUCCCACAAUUGAAAUGUUACAAUUAAAUAAAAAAAAUUCAGUGUCUAGAAACCAAACAAUUGAGCCAGUAACUGUAACCAAAAUUUAAAAUUUCCUUCUUUAUAAAGAUGUGUGUGUGUGUGUUGUGUGUGUGUGUGUGUGUGUGUGUUUGCGUGUGUC